GUAGGUGAACCUGCGGAAGGAUCAUUACCGGACUGUGAAGGGUGACGAGCUCUAUCGUUUCUGCCCCGUGUGGGUGGAGCGGCUCGCUGCGCCCGACACUUUCCGCCGCUGGCCCCGCUUGGACGCGGGGACGGCUAUACCCGAACAUGCGCGGGGACUGCCUGAAUUCUGAGGGGCGCCCCGUGCCCAAUUUGUUGCGCCCAGCGGGCGGCGGCUGCAACCUUGGACGGUUGGCUUGGCUGCGCCCGUGGGUACAAACGGCGUAACGCACUUUCAUGGGUGGGCUUUCGGUCCGCCUCGACGCUCAUGCGCGGAAUGGGAGUAAGACGACCCGACAUGCUUUGCCCAGUACGAAAGGAACGGUAGAGGUCGGUCAAGGAACUGGCGGUCGAGAGCAAAAGCUGCCUGCCAUCCAUCAUCAAUAGUUGGAACUGCGGUGCAAGCGCUCUCCCGUCCUCCGCGGCAAACGCCGCCGAGUCUGAAAAGGCUGGCGGCUGCCGGUCGCUUCCUGCGGCGAGUAUGGAGUAACGACCCGACUAUGUUGCUACCCAAGUACUGAAGGAACGGCGUGGCAUUCGGUCGGUCAUGGAACUGGCGGUACGAGGGUGUGGCUGCCAAGUACAAUAGGAACCGUGGCCCAUAGCGCCCUCCCGUCCUCCGCGGCAAAUGCCACCGAGUGCCCGAUAGGGCCGGAGGCUGCCGGUCGGCUCCUGCUCGUGACGCGCGAGAUGUCGAGAUCGCGGUUUAAUGCGACGACGUUGGCAGGCUAUUCGCCCGCUGCCGAGGGAAAGGCGGCGCUGCUGCGAAGUACGAGAGGAAACGCGGCUUUGCUACGUCGUACGCGUUCCGCGGUUAACGGACUUGUGCGCUUUGGGAAGGCGCCGCACGUCGAAAGAGGAUUUACGGACGGACGAGGGACUGAAGUCUCGAAACUAGAACGCACUUGCGGCCAGCCCCUUGCUGGCUUCGUCUUCCGCCUCGAGUAGAAUUGUUGCGGCUCCGGCGCCGAAAGCUGUCCCUGGCACUGGCCGAGUGGUUUUGGAGAGCCGCGCGAGUACGCGCGCCGGGCUCUUGUCUGUCGUCUCAAGUAGGCUGCCGGAUCAGCAGCGGGUGUGCUGCGGCAAUCCGCCGAUGCGAAAGCGUGUUUGUGUGUGAGGGACAUUGUGGUCAAUUAGACAACCCUACUGAUGACUGAAGCGAGACACGUCGAUGGGGGCGAGACCCCACCCGUGGCCGUGUAGCCGUGAAAGACUCCACAGCCGCUCGUGCCCUUUCAUGGCCUUGUGGCUUUUUUUCAAUUUUCGUGGAGCAUUGUGAACGUGCACACGAAGCACACGGGUCCGGAGGAGGUUGGCUGGCAAAACCGGCUUCGAGUGCUCGCAAAAAAGAAAAAGACGUGGUCACGGGGAGCCACGCACCCGCGGGUGUGUAGCCGUGAGUGACUCCACUGCAUCUUGGUCCUACAACUGAUCCUGGUGCAAACAGAGUGGAGGCUUGCGCGCACACAAGGGCAGCUCGCGGGGUUAGCUGCAAACGCAACACGCAAGUAGCAGGGUGUGGUGCGCCUAUAUGCUACCAACUGUUUUGAGACGCGGCUGUCGAAAAAGCGCAGACUCGAGGAGCGCGCGCAGAAAGGUGCCUUUCGAAACCACACACAGGGAGACGCCACGUGCCUAAAACCCUGGUUGUACUGUACUGAAUUGAACAAACUACUUUUCACGACUCUAAGCGGUGGAUCACUCGGUUCUCGGGUCGAUGAAGAACGCAGCCAGCUGCGAGACUUGGUGUGAAUUGCAGGACACACUGAGCACUGAUUCUUUGAACGCACAUUGCGGCCUUGGGUCUUCCCUUGGCUUCGUCUGUCUGAGGGUCGGAUCACAUAUCAAGAGAGCCUUCGGCGCACAGGGAACGUGCGUCCGUCGACUCGUUUUGACCGCGUCGGCAUCACGGACAGUACGUUGAGUGCUGAAGCCACGCGCCAGCGGCCUCACGUGAGGAAGACGGUGGCGAACUGAACUGUUGUGCCAAAACUUCGCAGAGACUGAAACGAGGCAUUGUACUACUGCAGCACGACGAGCGCGCGCCUCCGAAGAGAACCGCCGCAGGAUGGAGUCGGACACCUGCAGGGAAAGUGCGGUCUGAGCGCGAGGCGCGAACGUCUGUUGCAACAGCAGUAGCGCGCACGUUUGCGAGAGAGUCGGAAGUGCCCGCUUGCGCGCACGGACAACGCGGGAAGCAAACGCCGGCCGAUUCCCGCGCCGUGCGCGAAGCAAGCGAGCGCGAUCGCACGUUGCGUUGUUUGCCUUCGGAGUACGUCGAGCUCUAGCAGAAGGUCGCUCGUCCGCGUCACCGCACGGGUGCAGGCGCCCUAGUCCGGGUUUCGUCGCAGGAAUAAGAGUCGGAAAAGAUUCUUGCGCGGAGCGGGGAGGACAAGGGUGCGCCCCGGAGCGGUAGUGACGCGGUUACGCGAGUGCGCCGUCUGCGAGAAGCGAAGAAAACGGCACGACUGAAUAGUCGCCGCGAAGCGGAAAAUGUCUCCCUCGAAAGCGUGAGUUUGCCCGUUGGCGGAGCUGAAGCGUUCCGUCGUAGUCCGCCGUCGGUCCAAGUGCUUCGCAGUCUCUGCCCUUAAAAAGACUGGGCCACUCCAGUUGGGGGCAGGGGCGACGCUACACUAGACGAUGCCCUGUGCCAGGCUAGAGUCGUCCUGUGGCGCCCGCUGAAGCGGUGCGCUGCGAGGGUGGCAUGCCUCGGCGGUGUUUGGGCUUCAGACACGGUCGUUUGCCACGCAACUGCUCGUGCGACGCACGCGCGCUAAGGCGGUUCAAGAAACCACCUGCCAGCCUCGUCUAUAAGUAGCUCCGUGUUGGGCGAAGGACGUGGUAGGGCGUCGUACUCGGUUUGCGCUGGGCUUUCGAACGUGUCGAGUCCUUUCCAGCACGCUGGAAGGGGCGAAAGCGAUGUAUCCGUUGUCGACCUCAGAUCAGGCGAGACAA
This 2993-nucleotide ribosomal RNA is filed under the name Dermacentor silvarum. RNAcentral's name for it is "eukaryotic LSU rRNA". The stretch from base 1721 to 1873 matches the Rfam family "5.8S ribosomal RNA". The record is from RNAcentral. Lineage: Eukaryota; Metazoa; Arthropoda; Arachnida; Ixodida; Ixodidae.